This 428-nucleotide ribosomal RNA is filed under the name Gemmatimonadota bacterium. RNAcentral describes it as "Gemmatimonadetes bacterium partial 16S ribosomal RNA". It matches the Rfam family "Bacterial small subunit ribosomal RNA", at positions 355 to 776 of the family's 1533-position model. Lineage: Bacteria; Pseudomonadati; Gemmatimonadota. The record is from RNAcentral.
UAGGGAAUCUUCGGCAAUGGACGAAAGUCUGACCGAGCAACGCCGCGUGAGUGAAGAAGGUUUUCGGAUCGUAAAACUCUGUUGUUAGAGAAGAACAAGGACGUCAGUAACUGAACGUCCCCUGACGGUAUCUAACCAGAAAGCCACGGCUAACUACGUGCCAGCAGCCGCGGUAAUACGUAGGUGGCAAGCGUUGUCCGGAUUUAUUGGGCGUAAAGCGAGCGCAGGCGGUUUCUUAAGUCUGAUGUGAAAGCCCCCGGCUCAACCGGGGAGGGUCAUGGAAACUGGGAGACUUGAGUGCAGAAGAGGAGAGUGGAAUUCCAUGUGUAGCGGUGAAAUGCGUAGAUAUAUGGAGGAACACCAGUGGCGAAGGCGGCUCUCUGGUCUGUAACUGACGCUGAGGCUCGAAAGCGUGGGGAGCAAACAGG